This 510-nucleotide ribosomal RNA is filed under the name uncultured bacterium. RNAcentral's name for it is "partial 16S ribosomal RNA". It matches the Rfam family "Bacterial small subunit ribosomal RNA", at positions 28 to 523 of the family's 1533-position model. The record is from RNAcentral.
GACGAACGCUGGCGGCGCGCCUAACACAUGCAAGUCGAGCGAGAACCAGGGCUUCGGCCCUGGGGACAGCGGCGAACGGGUGAGUAACACGUGGAUAACCUGCCCUCGGCACCGGAAUAGCCCGAGGAAACUCGGAUUAAUACCGGAUAAUCCUUUCCUGCUCAUGCAGGAAAGCUGAAAGUCGGUUUCGGCUGACACUUACAGAUGGGCCCGCGGCGCAUUAGCUAGUUGGUGAGGUAACGGCUCACCAAGGCGACGAUGCGUAGCCGACCUGAGAGGGUGAUCGGCCACACUGGGACUGAGACACGGCCCAGACUCCUACGGGAGGCAGCAGUAGGGAAUCUUCCACAAUGGACGAAAGUCUGAUGGAGCAACGCCGCGUGAGCGAUGAAGGCCUUCGGGUCGUAAAGCUCUGUUGUUAGGGAAGAACGAGUACCGGAGUAACUGCCGGUACCUUGACGGUACCUAACCAGAAAGCCACGGCUAACUACGUGCCAGCAGCCGCCGUAA